This 253-nucleotide ribosomal RNA is filed under the name uncultured bacterium. Its description in RNAcentral is "partial 16S ribosomal RNA". It matches the Rfam family "Bacterial small subunit ribosomal RNA", at positions 524 to 776 of the family's 1533-position model. The record is from RNAcentral.
GACAGAGGUGGCAAGCGUUGUUCGGAAUUACUGGGCGUAAAGGGCGCGUAGGCGGUUCGUUAAGUCCUGUGUGAAAUCCCCCGGCUCAACUGGGGAACUGCACAGGAAACUAGCGGGCUUGAGUUCGGGAGAGGGAAGCGGAAUUCCGGGUGUAGCGGUGAAAUGCGUAGAUAUCCGGAGGAACACCGGUGGCGAAGGCGGCUUCCUGGACCGACACUGACGCUGAGGCGCGAAAGCUAGGGGAGCAAACGGG